This is a long non-coding RNA of Neopelma chrysocephalum (saffron-crested tyrant-manakin), 494 nucleotides long. RefSeq lists it as uncharacterized. NCBI's taxonomy places the organism in Eukaryota, Metazoa, Chordata, Aves, Passeriformes, Pipridae. The transcript has 3 exons. The record is from RefSeq and is a predicted model, not a curated record.
UCUUCAUCUGGGUAACCUUUGAUAACUCUGCAGCCAGAAUAGCUGGUGCUUUUCUGUGGAAUACAGAUUAUUGACCAGCUCUUGGUAUGGAACUGCCCAUGGCUUAUGACCUCUUAGUGCAAGUGGAUAUACCAAACCCCUAGCAAGAUUGGUAACAUUUUAUUAAUGCAGUACCUCUAUCAAGAAUAUGAACUGCCUUUUUUUUUUCCCCUCAGGAAGGUUGCAGUGAGUUUAACUGCUCUAAUUGAGACUGCCUGGGAAUAGUGAGACCAUUCCAGUUCAUCUGCUUUUUGCUAGACAAAUGUGUAUGACCCAGAAAUACUGGGUGGAGAAGAGGAAGCAAGUGUUAAAACUUUUUAGUGCUGGAUAGACCAUACAUUUAUCUGCCUGCACCUCUUUUAAACAGGCAUGGGACAGACUGAAUGCAGGGCCUGACCCAGGGAUGCAAUAGGAGGCUAAAUCUGGAGAAACAACCAAGCAACCAAAACAAGUGA